GAAUUUUGGACAAUGGGGGCAACCCUGAUCCAGCAAUGCCGCGUGCAGGAAGAAGGCCUUAGGGUUGUAAAGCUCUUUUACCAGGGAUGAUAAUGACAGUACCUGGAGAAUAAGCUUCGGCUAACUCCGUGCCAGCAGCCGCGGUAAUACGGAGGGAGCUAGCGUUGUUCGGAAAUACUGGGCGUAAAGCGCACGUAGGCGGCACUGCAAGUCAGGGGUGAAAUCCCGGGGCUCAACCUCGGAACUGCCCUUGAAACUGCAGCGCUAGAAUCUUGGAGAGGCGAGUGGAAUUCCGAGUGUAGAGGUGAAAUUCGUAGAUAUUCGGAAGAACACCAGUGGCGAAGGCGACUCGCUGGACAAGUAUUGACGCUGAGGUGCGAAAGCGUGGGGAGCAAAC
This 397-nucleotide ribosomal RNA is filed under the name uncultured bacterium. RNAcentral describes it as "bacterial SSU rRNA". It matches the Rfam family "Bacterial small subunit ribosomal RNA", at positions 359 to 773 of the family's 1533-position model. The record is from RNAcentral.